Small nucleolar RNA from Lolium rigidum, 97 nucleotides. NCBI's taxonomy places the organism in Eukaryota, Viridiplantae, Streptophyta, Magnoliopsida, Poales, Poaceae. The record is from RefSeq and is a predicted model, not a curated record.
GUCAUGCAGAUGAGGAGACAACAGUUUGUGCGUAAUUUGCGUCUGAGGCAUUCCUAUGAUGUCAUACUCUUUUCACCUUGCAGAUCUGAUUUACCCC